UACGGAGGGUGCAAGCGUUAGCCGGAAUCUCUGGGUUUAAAGGGUCCGUAGGCGGGUCAAUAAGUCAGUGGUGAAUGUAUGCAGCUUAACUGUAGAAUUGCCAUUGAUACUGUUGACCUUGAGUAAUUAUGAAGUGGUUAGAAUAUGUAGUGUAGCGGUGAAAUGCAUAGAUAUUACAUAGAAUACCGAUUGCGAAGGCAGAUCACUAAUAAUAUACUGACGCUGAUGGACGAAAGCGUAGGUAGCGAACAGG
This 253-nucleotide unclassified non-coding RNA is filed under the name uncultured Flavobacteriaceae bacterium. Its description in RNAcentral is "contains 16S-23S intergenic spacer region". It matches the Rfam family "Bacterial small subunit ribosomal RNA", at positions 524 to 776 of the family's 1533-position model. Lineage: Bacteria; Pseudomonadati; Bacteroidota; Flavobacteriia; Flavobacteriales; Flavobacteriaceae. The record is from RNAcentral.